RNAcentral lists this unclassified non-coding RNA (240 nucleotides) under soil metagenome. Its description in RNAcentral is "partial contains 5.8S ribosomal RNA, internal transcribed spacer 2, and large subunit ribosomal RNA". The record is from RNAcentral.
AACUGAUACUACCUGCGGGAACCUGCGGAAGGAUCAUUACCAAGAGAAAUCUUUCAACACUGAAAGAUCUUUUCCUUUGUGCUGGCUUUGACCGUAUGUAAUUUUGGGACUUUAAAAUGGUUCGCAAGGGCCGGUCCCAAAAACAAUAUAUCAUCCUUAUGAAAUUUUUUCUGAACAAUUAAACAAAUGAUUUUAAUAAUCUGUUUAAAACAACUUUCAACAAUGGAUCUCUAGAUCGGA